UAACGCGUGAGGAACCUGCCUCAAAGAGGGGGACAACAGUUGGAAACGACUGCUAAUACCGCAUAAGCCCACGGUGCCGCAUGGCACAGAGGGAAAAGGAGCAAUCCGCUUUGAGAUGGCCUCGCGUCCGAUUAGCUAGUUGGUGAGGUAACGGCCCACCAAGGCGACGAUCGGUAGCCGGACUGAGAGGUUGAACGGCCACAUUGGGACUGAGACACGGCCCAGACUCCUACGGGAGGCAGCAGUGGGGAAUAUUGCACAAUGGGGGAAACCCUGAUGCAGCGACGCCGCGUGGAGGAAGAAGGUCUUCGGAUUGUAAACUCCUGUUGUUGAGGAAGAUAAUGACGGUACUCAACAAGGAAGUGACGGCUAACUACGUGCCAGCAGCCGCGGUAAAACGUAGGUCACAAGCGUUGUCCGGAAUUACUGGGUGUAAAGGGAGCGCAGGCGGGAAGACAAGUUGGAAGUGAAAUCCAUGGGCUCAACCCAUGAACUGCUUUCAAAACUGUUUUUCUUGAGUAGUGCAGAGGUAGGCGGAAUUCCCGGUGUAGCGGUGGAAUGCGUAGAUAUCGGGAGGAACACCAGUGGCGAAGGCGGCCUACUGGGCACCAACUGACGCUGAGGCUCGAAAGUGUGGGUAGCAAACAGGAUUAGAUACCCUGGUAGUCCACACUGUAAACGAUGAUUACUAGGUGU
This 696-nucleotide ribosomal RNA is filed under the name uncultured bacterium. Its description in RNAcentral is "bacterial SSU rRNA". It matches the Rfam family "Bacterial small subunit ribosomal RNA", at positions 111 to 823 of the family's 1533-position model. The record is from RNAcentral.